CUGUCUAAAAAAGAUUUUAUUUUGUUAAUUUGAGUUGCAUUUAAUUUUAUGUCUCAUUGCUGACCCCUUGUGGUGAACUGAAAAAACUGACUGUGCAUGCGCUGUCCACGCGUUGGAUCAUAAUGAGCCAGGUGGCGCAGAAUUAGCAUAACGAAAAAAGAACACAGAGAACACGCUGGACGGAGACAGAACAGAGCACGGUGGAAAGACUGAAAAUGGACGAGCAACUCCUUAAAAUGUGAUCAGAGGGCACACGUUUUUCACGGUGAUUCCUUGGUGAUUCUUUGACGAUUCUGUGGUUACGUGAAAAAUAAAUGACCAAAAGAUCAUCAGUCGGAGCGUGGCUUUUUUCUGAUCGGAUUGAAAAACUUAAGGAGCAGCUACAAUG
Oryzias melastigma (Indian medaka) is the source of this 388-nucleotide long non-coding RNA. RefSeq lists it as uncharacterized. The record is from RefSeq and is a predicted model, not a curated record. Lineage: Eukaryota; Metazoa; Chordata; Actinopteri; Beloniformes; Adrianichthyidae. The transcript has 2 exons.